UAUUUUGUUGUUAUUUAAAAUAAUUUGCAGGAAAAAUGGAGAAAGGUUGGAAAACUCCUGCGGGAGUGCCCACGGGAAGGAUGCUGCCCGUGCGGGCACCGCACGCCCCGCACGCGCACACACGCGCGGCUAACACAAGACAUGUGCAUUGUGCGCAAGUCCCGUCUAUGCGGAGUGCAAGGCUUAGUUUGCAUGUGCGUCCCAUCAUGUGU
RNAcentral lists this long non-coding RNA (212 nucleotides) under Carica papaya (papaya). Its description in RNAcentral is "long non-coding RNA (CPAP_LNC012962)". Lineage: Eukaryota; Viridiplantae; Streptophyta; Magnoliopsida; Brassicales; Caricaceae. The record is from RNAcentral.